CUUUUCGAGGUAGGAGUCGACUCCUGUGAGGUAUGGUGCUGGGUGCAGAUGCAGUGUGGCUCUGGAUAGCACCUUAUGGACAGUUGUGUCCCCAAGGAAGGAUGAGAAUAGCUACUGAAGUCCUAAAGAGCAAGCCUAACUCAAGCCAUUGGCACACAGGACUCAGAAUUCAUGAUUGAAGAAAUGCAGGCAGACCUGUUAUCCUAAACUAGGGUUUUUAAUGACCACAACAAGCAAGCAUGCAGCUUACUGCUUGAAAGGGUCUUGCCUCACCCAAGCUAGAGUGCAGUGGCCUUUGAAGCUUACUACAGCCUCAAACUUCUGGGCUCAAGUGAUCCUCAGCCUCCCAGUGGUCUUUGUAGACUGCCUGAUGGAGUCUCAUGGCACAAGAAGAUUAAAACAGUGUCUCCAAUUUUAAUAAAUUUUUGCAAUCCA
Molecule: long non-coding RNA, 435 nt
Filed under: Homo sapiens (human)
Lineage: Eukaryota; Metazoa; Chordata; Mammalia; Primates; Hominidae
Description: growth arrest specific 5, transcript variant 48 (GAS5)
Source: RNAcentral